GCAUGCAGGUGGUUUGUUAAGUCAGAUGUGAAAGCCCGGGGCUCAACCUCGGAAUUGCAUUUGAAACUGGCAGACUAGAGUACUGUAGAGGGGGGUAGAAUUUCAGGUGUAGCGGUGAAAUGCGUAGAGAUCUGAAGGAAUACCGGUGGCGAAGGCGGCCCCCUGGACAGAUACUGACACUCAGAUGCGAAAGCGUGGGGAGCAAACAGGAUUAGAUACCCUGGUAGUCCACGCCGUAAACGAUGUCUACUUGGAGGUUGUGGCCUUGAGCCGUGGCUUUCGGAGCUAACGCGUUAAGUAGACCGCCUGGGGAGUACGGUCGCAAGAUUAAAACUCAAAUGAAUUGACGGGGGCCCGCACAAGCGGUGGAGCAUGUGGUUUAAUUCGAUGCAACGCGAAGAACCUUACCUACUCUUGACAUCCAGAGAACUUUCCAGAGAUGGAUUGGUGCCUUCGGGAACUCUGAGACAGGUGCUGCAUGGCUGUCGUCAGCUCGUGUUGUGAAAUGUUGGGUUAAGUCCCGCAACGAGCGCAACCCUUAUCCUUGUUUGCCAGCGAGUAAUGUCGGGAACUCCAGGGAGACUGCCGGUGAUAAACCGGAGGAAGGUGGGGACGACGUCAAGUCAUCAUGGCCCUUACGAGUAGGGCUACACACGUGCUACAAUGGCGCAUACAGAGGGCGGCCAACUUGCGAAAGUGAGCGAAUCCCAAAAAGUGCGUCGUAGUCCGGAUUGGAGUCUGCAACUCGACUCCAUGAAGUCGGAAUCGCUAGUAAUCGUGGAUCAGAAUGCCACGGUGAAUACGUUCCCGGGCCUUGUACACACCGCCCGUCACACCAUGGGAGUGGGCUGCAAAAGAAGUAGGUAGUUUAACCUUCGGGGGGACGCUUACCACUUUGUGGUUCAUGACUGGGGUGAAGUCGUAACAAGGUAGCGCUAGGGGAACCUGGCGCUGGAUCACCUCCUUAAACGAUGAU
RNAcentral lists this ribosomal RNA (976 nucleotides) under Vibrio parahaemolyticus. Its description in RNAcentral is "bacterial SSU rRNA". It matches the Rfam family "Bacterial small subunit ribosomal RNA", at positions 567 to 1533 of the family's 1533-position model. The record is from RNAcentral. Lineage: Bacteria; Pseudomonadati; Pseudomonadota; Gammaproteobacteria; Vibrionales; Vibrionaceae.